This 201-nucleotide unclassified non-coding RNA is filed under the name Borreliella afzelii. RNAcentral describes it as "partial 5S-23S ribosomal RNA intergenic spacer". Lineage: Bacteria; Pseudomonadati; Spirochaetota; Spirochaetia; Spirochaetales; Borreliaceae. The record is from RNAcentral.
UACCUUUAACUUGAUUUAUUUUUUAAUGUUUAUAUUAUUUGAAUAAAACAUUCAAAUAAUAUAAAAAAUAAUAUAUAUAUUGACAUGGACUAAACAAAGAUAUAUAUUAUUCUAUGUUGUAUAAACAAAUUGGCAAAAUAGAGAUGGAAGAUAAAAAUAUGGUCAAAGUAAUAAGAGUCUAUGGUAAAAAUUAUUUUUUUA